Molecule: ribosomal RNA, 482 nt
Filed under: uncultured bacterium
Lineage: Bacteria
Description: partial 16S ribosomal RNA
Rfam family: Bacterial small subunit ribosomal RNA
Source: RNAcentral
AUUGAACGCUGGCGGCAUGCCUUACACAUGCAAGUCGAACGGUAACGGGCCUUCGGGUGCCGACGAGUGGCGAACGGGUGAGUAAUACAUCGGAACGUGCCCGAUCGUGGGGGAUAACGAGGCGAAAGCUUUGCUAAUACCCCAUACGAUCUACGGAUGAAAGCAGGGGACCGAAAGGCCUUGCGCGGACGGAGCGGCCGAUGGCAGAUUAGGUAGUUGGUGGGAUAAAAGCUUACCAAGCCGACGAUCUGUAGCUGGUCUGAGAGGAUGAUCAGCCACACUGGGACUGAGACACGGCCCAGACUCCUACGGGAGGCAGCAGUGGGGAAUUUUGGACAAAGGGCGCAAGCCUGAUCCAGCCAUGCCGCGUGCAGGAUGAAGGCCUUCGGGUUGUAAACUGCUUUUGUACGGAACGAAAAGCCUUCUUUUAAUACAGGAGGGUCAUGACGGUACCGUAAGAAUAAGCACCGGCUAACUACGUG